Molecule: long non-coding RNA, 220 nt
Filed under: Nicotiana benthamiana
Lineage: Eukaryota; Viridiplantae; Streptophyta; Magnoliopsida; Solanales; Solanaceae
Description: long non-coding RNA (NBEN_LNC002661)
Source: RNAcentral
GUAAUAAGAGUUAAACAGAAAAGGAUCCAGAUGUGUAGCUGGUGAUCGUAAAUGAUUUAAACAUCUUUUCUUUUGGUGUUUCAACCUGGAUUGGGGCUAUGUGAAGUGUGGAUGGAAAUUUAUCUUGUAAAGUAAAAAUCUAGGUGAUAACAAAAAGGACAAUGUAGUUAAUCUAAAGCACAAAUGUAUAUUUUUGCUUAAUUUUUGGUGCAACAUAACC